UGACUGAAUGCUACUUUGAGGUAGAUGCAGGACAUUUACUCACUUUAUCUCACAUAACCCCCUCACCAGCCCCAUGAGUCAGUUCCUACUAUUUCCCCUAUUUUACAGGUGAAGAUAAUGCAUUUCAGAGAGGUCAAGCAAAUUGCCCCAGGACCCACAGAAAGGACAGCAAUAUGCAGCCAGCACAGCCAUACGGACUGGUAAAAAUAUGGGAAUUCUUCUAUAUGCAUGAUGUCGGGGUGACCUCCUGCGCCCGCCAGCAGAGGGCGCCAGUCUCCCGCCGGGGCCCACAGGCCGCUGCUCCCCGCCGUCUCCAGCCCCCCGCCCUUCCUCGCCCUUCGCCAGCACAAAUACGCGAUGACCCCCCAGUUCCUGGAAGAACGAUCUUCACAAAUUAAGUUUUCAAAUAAGGUCCUCAAUUAAAAGUGAAGAGUUGAAGGCAGAAGAGAGAAGAUGCAAGAUAGCCUCUGGGCAAGUGACAGCGAAUUGACAAGGGCAACGGCAGGAUUACCCUGCGGUUGCAGAGGACCCACUUGAGCCAGAAAGGUUCUGUAUUUUUCUCCAGCCUCUUUCACUAGCUGGGCAUAGGUAUGGCAUGGUGGUGAGUUGGGUUUGAGCAGAGCUGGGACUCUCCAGGUGAAUAACUGGAGCGAGAAAGGAGCAUGAGAGUUGAGUGUGAACACAAGGGAGUGGUUACAGCGAAGACCAGGGUUCUAAGUUGGGUAAGGAGGGAAGUGAGGCCCCAAAGGGGAUGACAGAGUUCACAAGUAUGUACGGUCAAGUGGAUUAGAGAACUGGGAGGAGUAUUUUGAUAUGUUCCAGUUUCAAAUGUGAUUUUAGGGGAACUAAUUAUAGCUAGUUCACUCACACAGUAAAUACUUAUUGAAAGCCUACUAUAAUUAAAAAAAAUUUUAAAUUUACAAUUUAUUGGGCACUAUGUGCCAGGCGCAGUGCUAAGUGUUGUGUAUUUACCAUAACUCAUUCAAUUCUCACAACAAUCCAUUAAGGCUGGUAUUGUAUUCUCCUCAUUGUACAGAUGAGGGUACCAAGGCUCAGAGAGAGCUGGUAACUUACCCAGGGACACACAGCUGGUAAGCAGCAGAGAGCUUUAUAUGAUUACAAAGCUGAGGAUCUUAACUACUAUGCUCUACCAUAUGUAAGACAUUGUGUUGGGUUUGUAUAAUCAUGACAUUCAGCUGCAGGUCCUCUUCCUCUUUGAUCCCAGCCUGAAAACAGAGUCCCUGAUCUCAGUUGCCCAGUAGUAGCAGCUGGGAUGUAGGUAGAGUGAUCUGGAAUUCUUCAUUAGUGUCAGUCUUGGUGGAGCAGUCAACCAAGAUGCCUGCUUUUCUUAGCUGAAGUAUAGACAUGUUAACCAGAGCUUGGCCUAUUGGACUCUUGCUCAAGGACUUUGAUCCAAGAAAGCUCUGAUCAAGGAAGUGGAGAAACGCAUGGAACUGAUUAAUUUUGGCUACCUAAGCUCCCAAGCAUCUCUGCUCUCCGUCCUUUUCUAAACCUGAUUCUCCAACUUCUGUCACCUCUGUGAGUUGGACACUAGCCUGCCAAUGAAAUCCUUUCCUGAUAAAGUUAGCCAGAAUUGGUUCCCAAGACUUGCAAUCAAAGAACCUGCACUUGCAUAUUCAAGAAAAAAAAAAAGACCAAAUAAUUGUAAAGCUAAAGCGAAUGAUUCAUUCCUUGGAUAAAUGUGCAUUAUUAAGCAGGGCCAGGACUGGAUGAGGCAAGUGAAGCACCCAGGGCACAAAAUUUAAGGAGGUUCUCACUCUCGGUGUUGGGUGAGUACAGGGUUGGCUCUAACAAACACCUCCUUUCCCCCCAAGAGUUGGUGACUUAAAGAA
This is a non-coding RNA of Microcebus murinus (gray mouse lemur), 1853 nucleotides long. The record is from RefSeq and is a predicted model, not a curated record. Lineage: Eukaryota; Metazoa; Chordata; Mammalia; Primates; Cheirogaleidae.